AACGAACGCUGGCGGCAGGCUUAACACAUGCAAGUCGAGCGCACUCUUUUAGAGUGAGCGGCAGACGGGUGAGUAACGCGUGGGAAUCUACCCAGAUCUACGGAAUAACACAGAGAAAUUUGUGCUAAUACCGUAUACGCCCUACGGGGGAAAGAUUUAUCGGAUUUGGAUGAGCCCGCGUUGGAUUAGCUAGUUGGUAGGGUAAAGGCCUACCAAGGCGACGAUCCAUAGCUGGUCUGAGAGGAUGAUCAGCCACACUGGGACUGAGACACGGCCCAGACUCCUACGGGAGGCAGCAGUGGGGAAUAUUGGACAAUGGGGGCAACCCUGAUCCAGCCAUGCCGCGUGAGUGAUGAAGGCCUUAGGGUUGUAAAGCUCUUUCACCGGUGAAGAUAAUGACGGUAACCGGAGAAGAAGCCCCGGCUAACUUCGUGCCAGCCGCCGCCGUAACAC
This 453-nucleotide ribosomal RNA is filed under the name uncultured bacterium. Its description in RNAcentral is "bacterial SSU rRNA". It matches the Rfam family "Bacterial small subunit ribosomal RNA", at positions 29 to 526 of the family's 1533-position model. The record is from RNAcentral.